UCUCCCAAUCCACGUGAUCGAAGCAAUCUUCAAGCGUGGAAUCAGAUUAGUCGGACCAGCGUUGAACAGACCUGAGUGCGGGAGCUUCCUGUUUUAGUCUCUGUCUAUAGGCUGGGAGCAACACAAUGGAGUCGUGGACAGCUUUUCCAAAAGGAGGGUGGGGAGGACCUUAUAUGCAUUACGGAAGUUACAAUAACAAUGAUCCAGGGUUUUACCAGCCCUGGUUGCACAAUCAAUAUGCUGAUAGAAUUUAGGGAGUUUUGUUUUCAGAUUAGCCUUGUUAAAAUCCCCGGCUACAAUUAAUGCGGCCUCAGGAUAUGUGGUUUCCAGUUUACAUAGAGUCAAACAAAGUUUGUUCAGGGCCGUCGAUGUGUCUGCUUGGGGGGGAAUAUAUGCGGCUGUGAUGAUAAUCGAAGAUAAUUAUUUUGGUAGAUAAUGCGGUCGACAUUUGAUUGUGAGGAAUUCUAAGUCAGGUGAACAGAAGGACUUGAGUUCCUGUAUGUUGUUAUGAUCACACCACGUCUUGUUAAUCAUAAGGCAUACCCCCGCCCCUCUUCUUACCAGAAAGAUGCUUGUUGCUGUCGGCGAUGCGUGAAGAAACCAGCUGGCUCUACUAACUCCGAUAGCGUGUCUCGAGUCAGCCAUCUUUCUGUGAAGCAAAGAACGUUACAGCCGCUUAUGUCUCUCUGGAAUGCUACCUGAAAGAUUAGUGGAAUCUGUGUGGGUAGCUGGACAGGUAGGAUGACUGACAGUGAAGGUGAACAGGUGGUCACGUGUCAGGUGACAGAGGAAUGGAUGAGACUGAGGCAGGAAUUCCUUUAACCAUAAAGUGGUAUAUUUACUGAGUAGUCUGUGCUGCAUCAAAGGAAACAAAUAACAUGUAUCCAAUCAAAUUCAUAAUCAAAGAUCAAAUCAUGGUCAUUAUUAACAUAAGUUAGGGAAUUCAACAGUCCAGUUCAUUAAGAAGUCAAUAGUAAUCAUCCGCGAGUCAUUUAGGCUCAUAACUAUUUAUCAUAAAUCAUGAAAGAAUACAAACAGUGAAUGUUUAUACAAUCUAUAAUCCCCAUGAUCAAAGUCAAUCAGUUAGCAAACAAUGACGUUUCUCAUUUCACGCUUUCAAUUGUCUUCAUGUGUACAUAUAAUUAAUUUCAAUACACAUGAACCAUAUCGAUUACAUAAUUGGCCUAUGAGGAUAUGUAGGGCCGUGAUAUUUGACAAUUCACAUUACACAAUAUGUUUGAAGCUGCGCUCCAAGACGCGCUCCGCGGUAAUAACUAUUAACAGUAACUGAAUGGCCCACUCUCCCGAUCGCCACAGAUAAUUCAGAAAGGUAACAGUCGGUGGAUUCAUGGACGCACAGAACUUCUGGAUGAGAUGGAGUUAAGGAAGAGAAAGCAGCGAGAUCACGCGAUGGCAAUUUCCUCCUUUUAUGGAGUUGAGAUCUGUCGGACAUUUCCACCUGACCUAAUUAAAGCGCCCCUGGCCCAGCUGAGUAAAUGGCAAUGAAUUAAAGGAUUAUUCCACCAACUCCAUGGGCCUUUUCUACACUACCCUUGCUCGGAUUUCAUCAACCUUGUUGUCAAGAGGCUGGACAUUGGCGAGUAGUAUGCUCGGGAGAGGUGCGCGAUGUGCCCGUCUCCAGAGCCUGACCAGAAGACCGCAUCGUCUGCCCCUUUUACUGCAACGUUGUUUUGGUUCGCCGGCUGGGAUCCGAUCCAUUGUCCUGGGUGUUGGGCAAAACACAGGAUCCGCUUCGGGAAAGUCGUAUUCCUGGUCGUAAUGAUGGUUCUUUGAGCUGGUAGUGCCAUCGUCACCCACUUUGUUGUUGAUGAGUGGAAUGAGGGCUGCUGGUCGAGAGCUGCCGACCCCGUCACAGCAGUUCUGCCCGCUCUGACUUUGGCCUCUGUCUCCAGUCCCACGUCUCAUCAGUCCUGCUACUCUAUCCUGGACCCCCCACUCCACUGCGUCCUUGGAUUCUUCUCCGGACCUGCUUACUCAGUCCCAACUCCCCUCGCUCCAGCCUCAGCAAUGGGCUUCCUGCAACCCGCCCGAGCUUCCCUGGCCUGCACCCCAUCUUCCCCAUGUUUCAAAAAAUACCUUGGUUACCUCAUCUGAGUCUGCUCUUGGGUUCACCUGUUCUGCUCCACGUGACACCUGUUUUAAUAUUCAGAGACAAUAUCCCUGAUCUUACCUGUGCACAUAGCGAUCUCUUGCUUUUAGGUGUUAUUAUAGAGAAUACUAACUGUACCAUGAUUUUGUUCACCAUUUUGUCACACUUCUGUUCCAAAAUAUGUAAAUGCUAUUAACAAAAACUGAGUUAAAAUGAAAGACAGCAGAAAGCCACACCAGCUUGGCCAAAACCAAUGAAUGUUGUUAAAAAUGUGGAUAGAAGCAUAGGCCAUUAAGGCCUACCAUUAACCAUAACAUAUAUUAUGAACAAAAGGUCAUGGUAGUUUCCCCACUGGGCACAGACAUCAUGUCAAUAUUUAGUUUUGAUUUAAAUUUGUUUGAGUUGUCAACAAACGUGAAAUCAACAAAAAAUGUCACCCUGCCAUUGGAUUUCGAUUUAAAAGUUGAUUUAAAAAAAAAAGUCCUUACAUUGACUUUUUGCAAAACUUAUUUUUCCCCAAUGUUGAUUCAAUGUCAUCGCAUUUAUUUCGUUGAAAUGACGUGGAACCAGCGUUGAUUCAACCAGUUUAUGCCCAGAGGGUAUUUAAUAAAUACACAUUUUUAAUGGAUAGUGACUGUCACAUUACCAUCACAUAAACAUACCAGCCAUGAAACAUUAUGUCCAUGAAAUCAUAAAGCUGUCCAGAGAGGGGAGCUUAUGGCUGACUUGCUUGAAUAAAUAUUCUAUUGACUC
Oncorhynchus nerka (sockeye salmon) is the source of this 2863-nucleotide long non-coding RNA. RefSeq lists it as uncharacterized. NCBI's taxonomy places the organism in Eukaryota, Metazoa, Chordata, Actinopteri, Salmoniformes, Salmonidae. The record is from RefSeq and is a predicted model, not a curated record. The transcript is spliced from 3 exons.